Oncorhynchus tshawytscha (Chinook salmon) is the source of this 2269-nucleotide long non-coding RNA. The record is from Ensembl. Lineage: Eukaryota; Metazoa; Chordata; Actinopteri; Salmoniformes; Salmonidae.
ACAAUGAAGUUAAUACCGUUUUAGAAGCAUCUGACUUCUUGACCAAUAGUAUUACUGUUGAGUUAACAUCCAAUCAGAUAACAGACCUACAGGAUGACAUUAAGACAACAGGAUGUGAAGACUACAGGCUGUUAAGACUACAGGAUGCUAAGACUACAGGAUGUUAAGAUUACAGGAUGUAAAGACUACAGGAUGUUAAGACUACAGGAUGUUAAGACUACAGGAUGCUAAGACUACAGGAUGCUAAGACUACAGGAUGUUAAGACUACAGGAUGCUAAGACUACAGGAUGCUAAGACUACAGGAUGUUAAGACAUCAGAAUGUGAAGACUACAGGAUGUUAAGACUACAGGAUGCUAAGACUACAGGAUGCUAAGACUACAGGAUGUUAAGACAACAGGAUGUUAAGACAACAGGAUGUAAAAACGAACCUCUGCUUCUCAGAGGUGGAAUGAGGGGUUUGAUGAGAUUAUGCAGAGAAGGCUGAAUUCCUAAUGCUGGGUGUUCACUACACGACUUUCAAAAUCCUUACAUCGCUGAGCCUCUCACAUUAAAAGCCUCUCACAUUCCUUUAAUUUUUUGUAUUGCCAACGUAGUGGUGCUCACACUAAACGAUCUGGUACAGAUCACACACUAUAAGAUUCUCCCACUUGGCCGUGAGGAUUCUCCAUACCACCACUCUGUCUAUUGAAAACACUAAUGUAUUAGAAUCUUAUUAACAUACUAGAAGGAGCUGUGGCUCAAUGCAGCACCAUAAAGGUUUUCAGUCAGACAUUCACACAUGCCGUACAGAGUGGAAAUUUCUAGCAACGAUUUUGAAUUGAAUGAUAUUGUUUGGGAACUUCAGAGUUGUAACGAUUUGACACUUUGGCUUUGGUUAAUAAAGGAAAGUAUAAACGAAUCGCUCCAGGCGCGAUGACUGCAAGUAUCACAUGCUCGGUAUCACAUGGUCGGUAUCACAUGCUCGGUAUCACAUGCUCGGUAUCACAUGCUCGGUAUCACAUGCUCGGUAUCACAUGCUCGGUAUCACAUGGUCGGUAUCACAUGCUCGGUAUCACAUGGUCGGUAUCACAUGCUCGGUAUCACAUGGUCGGUAUCACAUGCUCGGUAUCACAUGCUCGGUAUCACAUGGUCGGUAUCACAUGGUCGGUAUCACAUGCUCGGUAUCACAUGCUCGGUAUCACAUGCUCGGUAUCACAUGGUCGGUAUCACAUGGUCGGUAUCACAUGGUCGGUAUCACAUGCUCGGUAUCACAUGCUCGGUAUCACAUGGUCGGUAUCACAUGCUCGGUAUCACAUGCUCGGUAUCACAUGCUAAACAAAGUCAUCAUCUCACUGGCUUCUUCUCUGGUGAGCUCUCAUUGGCUAUUGCUAAUCACUGUUCUCAAAAUGUGUCGUUGCACAUCUCACACGACAAGAUCAUUGCAGAUUUUUUGCCGAUAUAAUCAAACAUGUUUGAAAAUAUUGGGACAUCUGGGACCGAAAAUAUUGGGACAUCUGGGACCGCUCAAAGACGGGAUCGUUAGCCCUCAGAUUGCGUCUCUGACCCGCUUACAUUAAAUGAGCGUUGGUGACGGACGCGCCCCGAGUAGGCAACGACAUGGUGAUUUUGUCAUCAAUCUCAAAAACGUAUCUGGGAGAGCUAAAUCGGGGGCCAGACAACACAGAGGAAAUCCUUGCAUACAGUUGACGAGAGUUACUUUGAGGGCUGAGCCGCCCUACAGACUCAUCAAUUAGUUGGGCCUCCAUCAGACUCAUCAAUUAGUUGGGCCUCCAUCAGACUCAUCAAUUAGUUGGGCCUCCAUCAGACUCAUCAAUUAGUUGGGCCUCCAUCAGACUCAUCAAUUAGUUGGGCCUCCAUCAGACUCAUCAAUUAGUUGGGCCUCCAUCAGACUCAUCAAUUAGUUGGGCCUCCAUCAGACUCAUCAAUUAGUUGGGCCUCCAUCAGACUAGAUUACCAUGACUUCUGAAGUGGGGGGGGGGGAUUUAAUUUGUUCACUUGUCUUCCCACAUCAGUCACUUUUGCAGCUCUGGUUUUUAUCCUCCUUCUUCAGUGAUAAAGACCAAGGACUGAAAACCCACAAGGACAUGUAGUAUGACCACUACCCAGAUACUGUAGCAGGCAUAGGCUGUAGAAAGACCAACCCUUGUUGUUAGCUGUGCAUUGGCUUGCUGCGAAAAUGAGAGUAUUUGACCUAAAAAAAAAUUAAAAAAAUAAGAAGGGGAACUUCUAACAAUCAAAUUGAACAAGACUUACAAUGCUAACGUUAA